UGGGGAAUGUUGGACAAUGGGCGCAAGCCUGAUCCAGCAAUGCCGCGUGUGUGAAGAAGGCCUUCGGGUUGUAAAGCACUUUUAUCAGGAGCGAAACGCUGUCGGCUAAUACCCGGCGGAACUGACGGUACCUGAGGAAUAAGCACCGGCUAACUUCGUGCCAGCAGCCGCGGUAAUACGAAGGGUGCAAGCGUUAAUCGGAAUUACUGGGCGUAAAGCGUGCGUAGGCGGUUUCUUAAGUCUGCUGUGAAAUCCCCGGGCUCAACCUGGGAAUGGCAGUGGAUACUGGGAGGCUAGAGUGUGUCAGAGGGUGGUGGAAUUCCCGGUGUAGCGGUGAAAUGCGUAGAGAUCGGGAGGAACAUCAGUGGCGAAGGCGGCCACCUGGGACAACACUGACGCUGAGGCACGAAAGCGUGGGGAGCAAACAGGAUUAGAUACCCUGGUAGUCCACGCCCUAAACGAUGCGAACUGGAUGUUGGUCUCAACUCGGAGAUCAGUGUCGAAGCUAACGCGUUAAGUUCGCCGCCUGGGGAGUACGGUCGCAAGACUGAAACUCAAAGGAAUUGACGGGGUCAUAGCUGUUUCC
This 586-nucleotide ribosomal RNA is filed under the name uncultured bacterium. RNAcentral describes it as "partial 16S ribosomal RNA". It matches the Rfam family "Bacterial small subunit ribosomal RNA", at positions 355 to 937 of the family's 1533-position model. The record is from RNAcentral.